RNAcentral lists this long non-coding RNA (607 nucleotides) under Capsella rubella. Its description in RNAcentral is "long non-coding RNA (CRUB_LNC001851)". Lineage: Eukaryota; Viridiplantae; Streptophyta; Magnoliopsida; Brassicales; Brassicaceae. The record is from RNAcentral.
CCUCUGCAUAGUCACAGAUAUAUAUAUCCAUUAAUUUCUAGAUUACAAAAUCUUUAUAUAUGUAUAAAAAGAAAGAAAAAAAAAAAGAUUACAAAACCUAAUCUUGAUCCGGUUUUUAAUUAGUAGGGUUUUUUUAAAAAAAAACAGUUUAAAAGCAGAAACCUUUUGAUCAGCGGGAGGCAAGAGGGCACGAAGUGAAGAGUACAAGGCGUUAAGCUUUCUACGGCGGUCUCGUUCGCUUGCGUUGUGAUUCAGUUUCUUCUCCAAAAGUGUUCCUCUAUCUUCUUCUUGAUCAUUGUUACUGUUACUGUUAGUACCAUUGCUGUGACUAAGACUCAUGUUGAUGUUAUGAUAGUUCUUGGAUUCAUCUGAUUGGGUGAAAGAAGGAUAAAGGAGAGAAGGAAGAUAUUGGAGAGUAGGAGGGAAGGAAUACUCUUGAUGAGACUGCAACCAUGGAUUCUCCAUUGUUGAAGCAGAGUACCAUUCUUGUCGCUUACUUGUUGGAAAUAUUGGUGUUAAGGCACACAUCUUAUUUUUGUCUUCUUAUGCGUGAGAAGGAUAGUACCGAAUAAAGAGGGAGAGAGAGAGAGAGCCUUUGAUGGUGAAG